AGUGUCCAGCUUAUGCGCAGGCGAGGACGUGGCUGCAGCAGCUGUGGGCCUGCGUUGCGCCCCAGGCAGCGGCGCCGCCAGUGACGGACGCGGGUUUCAUGCUGGGGGACCGCAUGGGUAUGUGGGCCUCAGGCCCGCGGGGGGCGGGCGCGCUGCUGUGGAGCACUUUGCGGGCCACCUUCUUGUACGCCGUCUGGUGUGCAUACUGGUCCCGCGAGCCUGCUAAGCAGACAUCGGAGCAUGUGGUUCGGGAGGUGGUCAGCGAGCUGCGCAGGGUGAUGCAGCUGCGUUUCACUGCCGCCACGCUAACCCCUGAAACCCUGUCGGCUCUGCCCACACAGCUUCUCACCGCGCAGCUCAAGGCGGCUAAGCUGGAGCACUUUGUUGCCAUCUGGACGGCGGGUGGCGCGCUUUGUGAAGUGGAGGAGGUUCAGGGUGGGUCACCGAAGUUGAACUUGCGGCUGACGCUUGCAUCACCUGUGCAGGCCCCCUAGGUUUCCUUUUGGGCGGCGUUUCUUUCCAGGCGCUGGCGUGGUGUACUAUCGUCAUCAGCUUAUCUGGCGCCCAUGUGUUUUAGCUCUGGCUGGCGUCACAGCGCCUGGGCGGCUGUGGGCCUUCCUGCACAGCGCGUCUUGCAGCGGGCUGGAGCCCGCUUAGUCAGCGCCACAUCUGGCCCGAUUAGUCUUCUGCUUGUGUCUCCUCUGCCGGUUCUCCUGGGGUGUUGCUUAAGCAACCGACUUGUGGGGGUGGGGUGGGUUUGGGCGGGGCGAGUGCGUAGCGCUGGUGUUUUCUUUUCUGGCGCGCGGUGGUGGUGGUUCUUGCGGCUAGGCUGUGGUGUAGGUUGGUGCUUGGGUUAGGUCUGGCGGUGUUUUUGUGAAACCCCUCCCGGGGGGCGGGGGGGCCAGCCUCCUGCUCUGUCUGCCGGGUCGGGGUGGGGUGGGGUGGGGUGGGAUGGAUGGGGGUGGUUGGUGGCGGUUUUGAGGUGUUUGCUUUCUGUCUUCUUCUCUUUUCUUCUCUUCUUGCCCUGUCAGGGUUCUGGUCUCGGGGACCAGGCUGUUUUCAGGCAGCAGGGGGGCAGCGCGUCUGCCCCUGUUCAACCUUGUAAGGAUGAUUCCUCAAAAAAAAAGGGGGCCGCGGCGUUCCGCGCGGCUGCAGGAGCAGGCGGCGGGCGGGGCGGGACCUAGCACGGGGCCUGCCACGGCGGUGGCGGCAGCAGCGGCGGCAGUGGAGGGCGACCCUCGCAUGCCGCCCCCGGAUGCGUCCCUUCUGCGGGGUACGUGGCGGAGGCUGUGGGAUAGCCACGCCGGACAGCCGGUAAGACACUCAAGCCGAUUUCGUUAAGGCUUCGAGAGAUCCUGGGUUCGAAUCCCGGUCACCCCACCAGGAAGGGCCCUGGUUUACCAAAACCCAUCCACACCUUGGUGGUGUGUAGACCCCCCCUGUGGUGCAGGGAGUCUCUAGGGUACAAGGCUUUUAAAGGGGGGGUCGUCUAAAUGGUUAAGACACUCAAGCCGAUUUCGUUAAGGCCUCGAGAGAUCCUGGGUUCGAAUCCCGGUCACCCCACCAGGAAAGGCCCUGGUUUACCAAAACCCUUCCACACCUUGGUGGUGUGUAGACCCCCCCUGUGGUGCAGGGAGUCUCUGGGGUACAAGGCUGGAGCUCUGGGCCUGCAACUGGCGAGCUUUCAAGUUCAAGAUCCAAGAUUCAAGUGGAGCUCUGGGCCUGUCAACUGGAGAGCUCUAGAUGAUCUGUGUGGUCAUGGCAGUGGCUGUAGUUGUCACCUAGCUGUUGAGAACUCCAGUAGGUGUGUGGUGUCACCUGGCUGUUGAGGUUUCCAGUAGGUGUGUGGUGGAACAAAAACUUCUCUUCUCUUCUCUGAUCUCUGGCCCUAUCGAGGUUCUGUGAUAUGAUCCAGGCUGCCUUGGCAGUAGGGUGGUAGUGCGUCUACCACCGCAACCUUGUAAGGAUGACUUUUAAAAAAAAAAAGCCACGCCAGUCGGGGGGCAAAGGUGCUGGUGUACCGGCUGCAACAUGCUUACCUGCCUUGUGGGCUGUACAGGGCGGGCAAGGGAAUUCGUCCACAGGUGACCACGGGGUGCGGGGGGUUGGGGGCGCACUGUCCUCACCCCGCCUGCGGGCCACCUGGCCCGCAGGCGUGGGCCAGCCUAACGCACAUCUUCCUGGAGUGUCCAGCUUAUGCGCAGGCGAGGACGUGGCUGCAGCAGCUGUGGGCCUGCGUUGCGCCCCAGGCAGCGGCGCCGCCAGUGAUGGACGCAAGCUUCAUGCUGGGGGACCGCAUGGGUAUGUGGGCCUCAGGCCCGCGGGGGGCGGGCGCGCUGCUGUGGAGCACUUUGCGGGCCACCUUCUUGUACGCCGUCUGGUGUGCGUACUGGUCCCGCGAGCCUGCUAAGCAGACGUCGGAGCAUGUGGUUCGGGAGGUGGUCAGCGAGCUGCGCAGGGUGAUGCAGCUGCGUUUCACUGCCGCCACGCUAACCCCUGAAACCCUGUCGGCUCUGCCCACACAG
This 2525-nucleotide long non-coding RNA is filed under the name Chlamydomonas reinhardtii. RNAcentral's name for it is "long non-coding RNA (CREI_LNC000535)". The stretch from base 1479 to 1563 matches the Rfam family "tRNA". The record is from RNAcentral. Lineage: Eukaryota; Viridiplantae; Chlorophyta; Chlorophyceae; Chlamydomonadales; Chlamydomonadaceae.